RNAcentral lists this ribosomal RNA (301 nucleotides) under uncultured bacterium. RNAcentral's name for it is "partial 16S ribosomal RNA". It matches the Rfam family "Archaeal small subunit ribosomal RNA", at positions 459 to 760 of the family's 1478-position model. The record is from RNAcentral.
CAGUAGCGCGGGAAUACCAGCAGCCCAAGUGGUGGUCGCGUUUAUUGGGCCUAAAGCGCUCGUAGCCUGACCGGUAAGUUCCCCGUGAAAUCGGGUCGCCCAACGAUUCGGCUUGCGGGGAAUACUGUCGGUCUUGGGGCCGGGAGACGCCGAGGGUACUCCGGGGGUAGCGGUGAAAUGCUGUAAUCCUCGGGGGACUGCCAGUGGCGAAGGCGCUCGGCGAUAACGGGCCUGACGGUGAGGGGCGAAAGCUGGGGGCGCGAACGGGAUUAGAUACCCCUGUAGUCCCUGUCUCUUAUAC